This 412-nucleotide ribosomal RNA is filed under the name uncultured bacterium. Its description in RNAcentral is "bacterial SSU rRNA". It matches the Rfam family "Bacterial small subunit ribosomal RNA", at positions 505 to 916 of the family's 1533-position model. The record is from RNAcentral.
GUGCCAGCCGCCGCGGUAAUACGUAGGGGGCAAGCGUUGUCCGGAUUCAUUGGGCGUAAAGCGCGUGUAGGCGGUUCAAUAGGUCCGCUGUGAAAGCUCGAGGCUCAACCUCGAGAUGCAGCGGAAACCAUUGGACUAGAGUCCGGAAGAGGAGAGUGGAAUUCCUGGUGUAGCGGUGAAAUGCGCAGAUAUCAGGAAGAACACCUAUGGCGAAGGCAGCUCUCUGGUACGGUACUGACGCUGAGACGCGAAAGCGUGGGGAGCGAACAGGAUUAGAUACCCUGGUAGUCCACGCCGUAAACGAUGGGCACUAGGUGUGGGUGGUGUCGACUCCAUCCGUGCCGCAGCUAACGCAUUAAGUGCCCCGCCUGGGGAGUACGGCCGCAAGGCUAAAACUUAAAGAAAUUGGCGG